Molecule: transfer RNA, 77 nt
Filed under: Chitinophaga terrae (ex Kim and Jung 2007)
Lineage: Bacteria; Pseudomonadati; Bacteroidota; Chitinophagia; Chitinophagales; Chitinophagaceae
Also listed under: 4 other names
Description: Chitinophaga terrae Kim and Jung 2007 tRNA_Asp_GTC
Rfam family: tRNA
About the family: Transfer RNA (tRNA) molecules are approximately 80 nucleotides in length.
Source: RNAcentral
GGAUCGGUAGUUCAGUUGGUUAGAAUGCCGCCCUGUCACGGCGGAGGUCGCGGGUUCGAGUCCCGUCCGGUCCGCGA